Molecule: ribosomal RNA, 300 nt
Filed under: uncultured Desulfotomaculum sp.
Lineage: Bacteria; Bacillati; Bacillota; Clostridia; Eubacteriales; Desulfotomaculaceae
Description: bacterial SSU rRNA
Rfam family: Bacterial small subunit ribosomal RNA (bases 54-300)
Source: RNAcentral
GGGCCAUGUACGGGAGGGCGGCGGGGGUGAUGCUGAGGGUGGGAGGGUGGCGCGGAAUUAUUGGGCGGAAAGGGCGCGGAGGCGGUUUGUCACGUCGGGAGUGAAAACUCGGGGCUCAAGCCCGGGCCUGCUGCCGAUACGGGCAGACUAGAGGUAUGCAGGGGAGAACGGAAUUCCUGGUGUAGCGGUGAAAUGCGCAGAUAUCAGGAGGAACACCGGUGGCGAAGGCGGUUCUCUGGGCAUUACCUGACGCUGAGGAGCGAAAGUGUGGGGAGCGAACAGGAUUAGAUACCGGUAGUC